UUUUCUUGUUUGGAGGUGAAAAAUGAGAGUUAUGUGAUGUAUAUUGAUGUUUGAUAUAUGUUGUGAAAUAUGUGUCUUGAGAUGUGAAACUUUGAUGGAAGUUAGUUUACCCCAAAAAUGGUAACUUUUGAGUUAAUGAGUUAAUUGAUGAAUUGAUGAUAUAAAUGAGUCUAUGAGGUGUAGAUGAUGAUGAUUGAUGGAUUAAUUUAAGUAUAUGAUG
RNAcentral lists this long non-coding RNA (220 nucleotides) under Salvia miltiorrhiza (redroot sage). RNAcentral's name for it is "long non-coding RNA (SMIL_LNC011393)". Lineage: Eukaryota; Viridiplantae; Streptophyta; Magnoliopsida; Lamiales; Lamiaceae. The record is from RNAcentral.